RNAcentral lists this ribosomal RNA (1382 nucleotides) under uncultured bacterium. RNAcentral's name for it is "bacterial SSU rRNA". It matches the Rfam family "Bacterial small subunit ribosomal RNA", at positions 27 to 1400 of the family's 1533-position model. The record is from RNAcentral.
GAUUGAACGCUGGCGGUAUGCUUAACACAUGCAAGUCGAACGGAAACGAUACUAGCUUGCUAGUAGGCGUCGAGUGGCGGACGGGUGAGUAACGCGUAGGAAUCUGCCUGAUAGUGGGGGAUAGCCCGAAGAAAUUCGGAUUAAUACCGCAUAAUCUAUUCGUAGUAAAGUGGGGGACUUUCGAGCCUCACGCUAUCAGAUGAGCCUGCGUAAGAUUAGCUAGUUGGUAGGGUAAAAGCCUACCAAGGCAACGAUCUUUAGCUGGUCUGAGAGGAUGAUCAGCCACAUCGGGACUGAGACACGGCCCGAACUCCUACGGGAGGCAGCAGUGGGGAAUAUUGGACAAUGGGGGCAACCCUGAUCCAGCAAUACCGCGUGUGUGAAGAAGGCCUGAGGGUUGUAAAGCACUUUCAAUUGUGAAGAAAAGUUAACGGUUAAUAACCGUUAGCCUUGACGUUAACUUUAGAAGAAGCACCGGCUAACUCCGUGCCAGCAGCCGCGGUAAUACGGAGGGUGCAAGCGUUAAUCGGAAUUACUGGGCGUAAAGCGUGCGUAGGCGGUUUAUUAAGUCAGAUGUGAAAGCCCCGGGCUUAACCUGGGAACUGCAUUUGAAACUGGUCAACUAGAGUAUGGUAGAGGAAAGUGGAAUUUCUGGUGUAGCGGUGAAAUGCGUAGAUAUCAGAAGGAACAUCAAUGGCGAAGGCAGCUUUCUGGACCAAUACUGACGCUGAGGUACGAAAGCGUGGGUAGCAAACAGGAUUAGAUACCCUGGUAGUCCACGCCGUAAACGAUGAUAACUAGCCGUUGGGGGGAUUUACCCUUUAGUGGCGAAGCUAACGCGUUAAGUUAUCCGCCUGGGGAGUACGGCCGCAAGGUUAAAACUCAAAGGAAUUGACGGGGACCCGCACAAGCGGUGGAGCAUGUGGUUUAAUUCGAUGCAACGCGAAGAACCUUACCUGGUCUUGACAUCCUGCGAACUUUCUAGAAAUAGAUUGGUGCCUUCGGGAACGCAGUGACAGGUGCUGCAUGGCUGUCGUCAGCUCGUGUCGUGAGAUGUUGGGUUAAGUCCCGUAACGAGCGCAACCCCUAUCCUUAUUUGCCAGCACGUCAUGGUGGGAACUAUAAGGAGACUGCCGGUGAUAAACCGGAGGAAGGCGGGGACGACGUCAAGUCAUCAUGGCCCUUACGACCAGGGCUACACACGUGCUACAAUGGGAAGGACAAAGAGCCGCGAAGCCGCGAGGUGUAGCUAAUCUCAGAAACCUUUUCGUAGUCCGGAUUGGAGUCUGCAACUCGACUCCAUGAAGUCGGAAUCGCUAGUAAUCGUAGAUCAGAAUGCUACGGUGAAUACGUUCCCGGGUCUUGUACACACCGCCCGUCAA